Long non-coding RNA from Daphnia pulex (common water flea), 464 nucleotides. RefSeq lists it as uncharacterized. The transcript has 3 exons. The record is from RefSeq and is a predicted model, not a curated record. Lineage: Eukaryota; Metazoa; Arthropoda; Branchiopoda; Diplostraca; Daphniidae.
UGACUAGAUUUCCUGUGCAAUUUGUUUGGCAUGUGUUGUUUACCGAAUAUGUGUUUAAUAACAUCAUUAUUUCUCCUCCAUUUCCAGGAAAAAAUGUGAAAGGUGCAUGAAGCCAGUACCGUCAACUAUUGUGUUAAAAAUCCUGGUAUCCUACAGAAUAUGUCAUCCAAAUGACAGAGUGGAUUCAUCACUAUUAUCGGCUGAAUCAUUCUAUGGGACUUGCCAGAUCACCAACCCAAGCAUGGACCAAUUUCUCAUUCCAUCUUCUAGAGAACCUUACAUAACCGAUUGGACCUUAGUGUGUUUUAGGUUUCUAAUGUAGCAUGAUUGACUAUGAGAAGUCAUGUUGUUUGAAGGAAAAGGACUAUACAGUUGACAAGGUUCUUUGCUAACCCGUUGGCUGCUACCCUUGAAUCUCCCUGUUUACUUCCUUACACAGGUCCUCUUGAUUUGAGGUACUACUU